This 301-nucleotide ribosomal RNA is filed under the name uncultured bacterium. RNAcentral's name for it is "partial 16S ribosomal RNA". It matches the Rfam family "Bacterial small subunit ribosomal RNA", at positions 509 to 807 of the family's 1533-position model. The record is from RNAcentral.
CAGUCGCCGCGGGAAUACAGAGGGUGCGAGCGUUAAUCGGAUUUACUGGGCGUAAAGCGUGCGUAGGCGGCUAAUUGAGUCGGAUGUGAAAUCCCCGAGCUUAACUUGGGAAUUGCAUUCGAUACUGGUUAGCUAGAGUGUGGGAGAGGAUGGUAGAAUUCCAGGUGUAGCGGUGAAAUUCGUAGAGAUCUGGAGGAAUACCGAUGGCGAAGGCAGCCAUCUGGCCUAACACUGACGCUGAGGUACGAAAGCAUGGGGAGCAAACAGGAUUAGAUACCCCCGUAGUCCCUGUCUCUUAUAC